Molecule: ribosomal RNA, 460 nt
Filed under: uncultured bacterium
Lineage: Bacteria
Description: partial 16S ribosomal RNA
Rfam family: Bacterial small subunit ribosomal RNA
Source: RNAcentral
CCUACGGGCGGCUGCAGUGAGGAAUAUUGGUCAAUGGACGAGAGUCUGAACCAGCCAAGUAGCGUGAAGGAUGACUGCCCUAUGGGUUGUAAACUUCUUUUAUAUGGGAAUAAAAUGUUCCACGUGUGGGAUUUUGUAUGUACCAUAUGAAUAAGGAUCGGCUAACUCCGUGCCAGCAGCCGCGGUAAUACGGAGGAUCCGAGCGUUAUCCGGAUUUAUUGGGUUUAAAGGGAGCGUAGGUGGAUUGUUAAGUCAGCUGUGAAAGUUUGCGGCUCAACCGUAAAAUUGCAGUUGAAACUGGCAGUCUUGAGUACAGUAGAGGUGGGCGGAAUUCGUGGUGUAGCGGUGAAAUGCUUAGAUAUCACGAAGAACUCCGAUUGCGAAGGCAGUUCACUGGACUGCAACUGACACUGAGGCUCGAAAGUGUGGGUAUCAAACAGGAUUAGAUACCCUAGUAGUC